AGAAGUAAGUCAGCACCGUCCCUCCAGAGAGGAGAAGGAUGGAGCCUCCCCAGCCAAUGAAAAUUGCAGCUCCAAGUUCAUAUCUGAACAGGAAGUAUUGAGGUAGGUUAUACUGCCUGCAAAGGUCACCCUGGCAUUGGCAAUGUCUGAUCCACCUAUUUUAGUGCAUUUCAUCCCUAUGAGUGUGAGGACGCCUCCGAAGAAGCCAGUGAUAACGGCACAGACAGCGAGCGCUCUGCAAGCGUGUAGGAACGCUGAAAGAAAACAGGUUGGAGUAGUAGUUGGAGGUGGUCAGCACGACGCUGCCCACCUCUGAGAAAGUCCAGUACUCUGUGGGAAGAGUGGAACACACCAGGAUCCAGCCACACAGGCAGGACACGAAGCAGCCGAUCUCCAUGUACAUCACCACCUUCCUGUACUUCAUGGGAACUAUGGGAUGCCUGCUGCAGAGAGAGUAUUGUAUCCAGUCAGAAACAGCAACAGUAACAAUACAUUACCAGCCACAUCUGAUACACCUGCAUGAGGGAAAUCCAAUGACACAAUGGAAAAAACAAACAAGACGAACCAUGGUCCAUAGCAAUGGUGCAACCCACAAAGCCCCAGCCCAGUAUGCAGAGCAGCAGGCCCAGGAUCUGACCCAUUCUCCCCCACAUCCGUUCAGUUUGAGUGGCGUACACACUGACCACAGAUAGAAGAAACCACCAGUCAUUUGAAAGAUCGAGCCAACCCAGCCGAGGAACAGCGGGGUGCCAAGACAUUACCGCUGAUUAUGUGGCACCACCCGCCGGUGUAGAUCUUCUUGUACUUUGACCGGUCUUUACCCCCAAUGAAAGUACACUCCAUACCCAUCAGACUGAGCACAAAGCCCAUCAUGCCCAGGGAAAGAGCUGCCAUCAGCAGGCCUCGCACUAUCUGGAUGGAGCCUGGAGUCACACAGCAAGACACAAAUAGACAUUAAUGAGAGUCUAGAUGUCAGUGGAGCUCAUGACUGAAUAGUUGAGACAGUAGGUUAGUUAGAUAGGGUGAAAAAUGUGUUACCUACCCUCCACAGACCAGAGCACAGGGUAGUCGUAGCAGUUGCUGACAGCAGUUGAGUCUGUAUAACAGGAUCUCCACAGGCUGGACCAAUACCAGGCCACCUUGAUGACGGCGGAGCCCCCCAUGCCCCCAAUGGCGGUGAUCUUCCAGCCCUCCAUGGCCAAUGUGCAGGCCAUGAAGAUCCAGCCCAAAACUGUCAUCAGGAAACCCCAGAUCUGGACCACACGAAUCUUCAUCUCGGGGCUUCUUAAGACGUGUACAUCCUGAGCUGAACGUCUAAAUUCAAACAGAUGUCAAAGUGGCCACCUACUCAGCGGCUCUUCUCAGAAAAAGGAGAGGACGAGUGCAUCACAGGUACAAAUCAGGGGUGUGCUGUUGUUUUCCAGGUAUUACUGUACAUGUGGGUGAGAGACAACAGUUGCACAGGUUCCCAUGGGCCACAGCUGAAUCUGGACUGAGAGUGCUCACCUAAGCAUGUAUCUCAUAUUACCAAAGCAACUUCAUGCCCCCAUUGGACUGUUCUGGACUUUCUCUCAUGUGCAGAUUAUAUUAUUAUUAUAUUUCACUUUCUUGAAACAAUGUUGUUAAAUAAUCCUGCAAUUACUGGCACUGUAUUGUACUGUAAUUCAGUUAACGGCCAAUAUAUUAGCCUAAUUGAUCCUGAAAAUUUGAAACUUUUUGAAACUUGAUAUGAAUAAAUGUCUAAUUAAAGGGGUA
This is a long non-coding RNA of Siniperca chuatsi (mandarin fish), 1755 nucleotides long. RefSeq lists it as uncharacterized. The record is from RefSeq and is a predicted model, not a curated record. The transcript is spliced from 9 exons. NCBI's taxonomy places the organism in Eukaryota, Metazoa, Chordata, Actinopteri, Centrarchiformes, Sinipercidae.